Molecule: ribosomal RNA, 465 nt
Filed under: uncultured bacterium
Lineage: Bacteria
Description: partial 16S ribosomal RNA
Rfam family: Bacterial small subunit ribosomal RNA
Source: RNAcentral
GACGAACGCUGGCGGCGUGCUUAACACAUGCAAGUCGAACGGAAAGGCCAUGCUUGCGGGGUACUCGAGUGGCGAACGGGCGAGUAAGAAGCGGGUGGUCAGCCCAGCACUACGGGAUAAGCCUGGGAAACAGGGCGUAACACCGGCCAGGGGAUAUAUUUAGCGGGAUGGUUGGAAAGUUUUUUCGGUGUUGGCUGAGCUCGCGGCCUAUCAGCUUGCUGGUGGGGUAAUGGCCUACCGAGGCGGCGUCGGGUAGCCGGCCUGUGGGGGUGGACGGCCACCUUGGGACUGAGAGACGGCCCAGGCACCUACGGGAGGCAGCAGUGCGGAAUAUUGCACGAUGGGCGCCAGGCUGAUGCAGCGGCGCCGCGUGGGGGAUGACGGCCUUCGGGUUGUAAACUCCUUUCGCUAGGGACGAAGCUUUUUGUGACGGUACCUAGAUAAGAAGCACCGGCUAACUACGUG